Molecule: ribosomal RNA, 773 nt
Filed under: uncultured Neocallimastigales
Lineage: Eukaryota; Fungi; Neocallimastigomycota; Neocallimastigomycetes; Neocallimastigales
Description: partial large subunit ribosomal RNA
Rfam family: Eukaryotic large subunit ribosomal RNA
Source: RNAcentral
AGAGAGAGACAUGCGCGCAUAUCAAUAAGCGGAGGAAAAGAAACUAACUAGGAUUCCCUUAGUAACGGCGAGUGAAGCGGGAAGAGCUCAAAUUUGAAAUCUUCAAGGUUUACCUUGACGAAUUGUAGUUUAAAGAAGUGUUUUCUGCUGGAGUUUUGGUAAAAGUUCUUUGGAAUAGGACAUCAUAGAGGGUGAGAAUCCCGUAUUUGACCAUUAUUUUCAGCUUUGUGAUACACUUUCAAAGAGUCGGAUUGUUUGGGAAUGCAGUCCAAAAUGGGUGGUAAAUUUCAUCUAAAGCUAAAUAUUGGCGAGAGACCGAUAGCGAACAAGUACCGUGAGGGAAAGAUGAAAAGAACUUUGAAAAGAGAGUUAAACAGUACGUGAAAUUGUCAAAAGGGAAGCGUUUGACACCAGUGUCGUUUUCUCGAAAAUCAAUUAAAAAUGGCUCGAUUUUGUAUUGCUGAGACCUUAAAAGCUCACUGUACAUUUUUCGUGUCUUUUUUAAUGCACUUUUCGUUUAACAAGUCAACAUCAGUUUCUUUUGUUGUAAAAGGGUCAUUGGAAGGUGGCUUUCUUUUCGGAGAAAGUGUUUAUAGCCUUUGGCCUCUGCAAUCGAAGAGACUGAGGUCUGCAGCGUAGACUCUUCGGGGUUAGAUACAUUUGUGCUAAGUUAUAGCUUUUUAUAGACAACUUGUUGACUAUAAUUAGUCUUGUAGCUUACUCGCUUAUGCUAUUUUACCUACGCUUAGGAUGUUGAGUCGUAGAGCACGCAG